GUCCACGCCGUAAACGAUGAAUGCCAGACGUCGGGCAGCAUGCUGUUCGGUGUCACACCUAACGGAUUAAGCAUUCCGCCUGGGGAGUACGGCCGCAAGGUUAAAACUCAAAGGAAUUGACGGGGGCCCCGCACAAGCGGUGGAGCAUGUGGUUUAAUUCGAAGCAACGCGCAGAACCUUACCAACCCUUGACAUGGGUAUCGCGGGACCGGAGACGGUCCUUUCAGUUCGGCUGGAUACCACACAGGUGCUGCAUGGCUGUCGU
RNAcentral lists this ribosomal RNA (265 nucleotides) under uncultured bacterium. RNAcentral's name for it is "partial 16S ribosomal RNA". It matches the Rfam family "Bacterial small subunit ribosomal RNA", at positions 793 to 1055 of the family's 1533-position model. The record is from RNAcentral.